GAUCUUUGGAUCGGAUCGAUCAUCUCCUGUCGCUUGCCCCUUCCCUGUCGCGAUGGAGAGCGAUGCCGCGCCACAGCCGAGCACUGCCAACGCCGGGCGCCACCACCCUGCUGGCUGCCGCCGAGCGCUGCCACCCCACCUGCCGCCGAGCAGCCCACCAUCCAUCUGCAAUCGUGCAUCUGAUCUUCCAAUUGAUGCUUCUAUAUGAAAUGACUGACGGUGAGGACAUCCAGCGUCUUGCGUCUUGUAUGUGAUAAUGGCACUGGAGUGGUCAAGGUCAGAUUUUCUUUUUUUACUCUUAAGCCUUAACUAGUGGAGUAACUGCUAUGUAUGCCCCAUCUCCUGCAAAAAAAAUUUUCUGAAUAUGCCGCCCUUUUGCAUAUUUGAUCAUGUAGGCUAGUUUCAUUGGGGAUGAUUUGUUGUUGGGUAUUUUUAUCAGAGCUAUGUAGAUUGAGUAUGACAAUUGGGUAUUUUUAUCAGAGCUAUGUAGAUUACUUAUUUGUGUCUUUUUCUCCAAUCUGCUUCACCAAGAAUGGAGUUAGGGAGGUAGAGCCAGAGGCAAGGAGUAGGAGGGAAAGGGGAUGGUGCCUCUUCUUGGCUGCUUCAGUUCUUUUUUCCUCUCGGCCACAAGCAAAUCAGCCAAGACUCUGUUUUAGAUGGCGCCGAAGGCCACGGUGAGGCAGGGUUCGACAGAGGGAUAGCCGUGACACUGUAGAUGAGGGCACCAGAGGCUGCCAUUACGCCGUCGAGGAGGUGGGGGAUGCUUCCAUGGUUUUUCUCGCACCGGUGGGCGAGGCAGCCGUGAUAUCUCUCCUGGAUCUCAGUAAGCAAGCAAGCACGUUCCCAGGGCUAUCGAGGAGGCAGUCACAAUGACCCUGAUGGUCUUCAGCGAGGCAUAUAUGAAUUCCUUUGUCGCAGGUGGCGAUGCAGUCCCGACGCUAAUCAUGUUGAUGGGCGAGGUGGUCAAGGCCUCUCUCCUUUACGAGGUGGGCUAAUCGUGUCAGUUUUUUUUCUACAUCUUUGUGGUAGAAACUAAGAAAUCAUAUUAUUUAGGUCAAAGAAAUAUAAUCUUGUAAUCUGAACAUCUAAAGAUAUGUAAUCUGCAUAUGAAGAUUACAACACUGAAGCAAAUUACUACUGACGAGUCAUAUGUUUUGUCAGUUGCUAACAUUUGUAUUUUAUCAGCAAUAAGACUGCAUCACCUCAUAAUUUUAGUGAAUAUUACUUAUUUUUGUUAGUUUUGUCUGAAAAAGUUAUGUCAUGUCAGCUUUGUGAAUACUACUUAUUUUUGUCAUGUUACUUUUGUCUGAAAAAGUAUUGUUUCUUUUUGUAUUUUUGAUUUUGUGUUUGUUUUUAUCCAAAAAAUUUACUUUGUCAGAAAUGAGCAUAGUUUCAGAAAUGGAGUGUUUUUUUUUUUUUGUCUUUGUUAGAUUUUUAUAAUUUUGGUAAUAUUAAUCAGUUUAUCGCUUAUUUAUGUCAUAGCCUAACCACUUGAAAUCGUUCUUAAUACUGUUGUUUGCUUGCCAUAGAAAUCUCUCAAUUCUAGCGUCUAUGUUUUUGUCAGAAACAGUCUUAUAUCAAAUAAUACUUGCAAGAUACAUAUUUAUCUAAUGCUAUGACAGAAAAAGCUUUGGUAUCUAAUUCAUAUAUCAAAUAUAUCUAUUCACUUAGUUUUCAAACUAGUUUUGAACCUUGAAAAUACUAGCGUUGUAUAGUUUUGCAUCAAUUUAAAACAAGCUAUGGUAUCUCAGUUUUGAGUUUUAUAACAAUAUAUGCUAUGAGUUUUGUUUCUUCAUUUAAACACAUGUAAAGAACAUGGGAUUAUUUAGUUCAAAUGCCAUGAGUGGUAGCAGUCCUUGACAUUUGGCAGUCAGCCCCUGGCCUCCUGAAAUUUUAAUGUAGUAGGAUUUUUUGUUAGACAUCUGCUGCAUUGACUAUCAGAUUUCUGGAGAAUUGAUUAUGUUCUGGAAAGGAAAAAGUACACCGAAGGUCCCUCAACUUGUCAUCGGGAUACAAAAACGUCCUCGAACCGUAAAACCAGAUAUGCGGGGUCCCUUAACUAUACAAAACCGCUCACCCGAGGCCGACCGACGGGUAGGGAGCAGAUGACCGGGCGGCAAGCGGGGCUAAGCGGCGCCGGCGGAGGCGGCGUGCGAGCGCGCGGCGGCCGGCGAAGCGGAGUGGAGCGGAGGCACAGAGCAGCGGUGGCAGCAAGCGGGCGAGCGCGCGUGAUGUGACCAUGCCUACUACAGAUAGAACCAUUGCUCACAUCAUACAUCAAAUGGAAGUCAUCAAGAUCCCACACAACUUCGGAAAUCCAAUUCGGCCACCUGCAAUAGAGCUGGCUUCAAACGGGCGCCAAAUUUGCAUAUGAGCUCCAUUUCAAUCAUAUGAGUACUCGUUGGAAAGAUCUUGUUGUCUACUUUCAGAUAUGUCCAGCCUCACCUUAAGAUCCGAACCGAGCUGCUCAGAAUGACCAAAAUAGUUUUCGCAUCUGAAACUCGGGCUUGGGCGUUUGUAUCUUUACAGCCCAUUAGGGGUCCACAAAACCUAGGGUUUGCUCCCACCUCCUCUCCUGGUCAUUCCUCCACCUAUAUAAACUCCUAGCAACCCCCAUUUUGCAGUUUGGGUUUUUGUUUAGAUGUAAGUUUAGCUGCAG
Molecule: non-coding RNA, 2659 nt
Organism: Oryza sativa Japonica Group (Japanese rice)
Lineage: Eukaryota; Viridiplantae; Streptophyta; Magnoliopsida; Poales; Poaceae
Source: RefSeq, a predicted model, not a curated record